GCGCCGUAGCUCAGCUGGAUAGAGUACCUGGCUACGAACCAGGCGGUCAGAGGUUCGAAUCCUCUCGGACGCGCCA
RNAcentral lists this transfer RNA (76 nucleotides) under Vibrio cholerae. RNAcentral's name for it is "tRNA-Arg". It matches the Rfam family "tRNA". Rfam says of the family: Transfer RNA (tRNA) molecules are approximately 80 nucleotides in length. Their secondary structure includes four short double-helical elements and three loops (D, anti-codon, and T loops). Lineage: Bacteria; Pseudomonadati; Pseudomonadota; Gammaproteobacteria; Vibrionales; Vibrionaceae. The record is from RNAcentral.